This 317-nucleotide long non-coding RNA is filed under the name Manihot esculenta (cassava). RNAcentral's name for it is "long non-coding RNA (MESC_LNC005342)". The record is from RNAcentral. Lineage: Eukaryota; Viridiplantae; Streptophyta; Magnoliopsida; Malpighiales; Euphorbiaceae.
UGCUGCUGGCUAGUAGGCCUACUGGGUUGGAGGGUCUGCCUGCUGGGACGCUGCUGGGCUGUGGGCUGCUGUUUGCUGGUAGGCCUACGGAUAUGCCUACUGAUGUGGGCUACCUGUUGAUAUGCCUUUUGCUGAUCUGCUGCCCCUUGCGCAGCAACCAUCUUGGAGCUCUUGAGCUUUUGAGAGAGAGAAUUUUUGAGAAGAAGAAGAAAAAGUGUGGAAGUGGAGAGGAAAGAAUAAAAUGCUGAGUUUAAAUAGCAACAAUACUGCCCUGUUUAUUUUCCUCUUGUCGCUUUUCUCUACCUCGGUUGUUUGCC